RNAcentral lists this ribosomal RNA (160 nucleotides) under Russula rosacea. RNAcentral's name for it is "5.8S ribosomal RNA". It matches the Rfam family "5.8S ribosomal RNA". From Rfam's summary of the family: 5.8S ribosomal RNA (5.8S rRNA) is a component of the large subunit of the eukaryotic ribosome. It is transcribed by RNA polymerase I as part of the 45S precursor that also contains 18S and 28S rRNA. Lineage: Eukaryota; Fungi; Basidiomycota; Agaricomycetes; Russulales; Russulaceae. The record is from RNAcentral.
UAUAACUUUCAACAACGGAUCUCUUGGCUCUCGCAUCGAUGAAGAACGCAGCGAAAUGCGAUACGUAAUGUGAAUUGCAGAAUUCAGUGAAUCAUCGAAUCUUUGAACGCACCUUGCGCCCCUUGGCAUUCCGAGGGGCACACCCGUUUGAGUGUCGUGA